GGGACACCAGUGUGGGUGCCAUCUGCACCUCUGGGCACCGUGCCAUCACACAGGACAGGCACAGCACUGAAGCCAGGAAGCCCAGAUCAAAAACUGAAGGAGGGGAACCCUGUGUGCCAACCAAAGCAUGUGGGCCCCACACAGGAAAAGCGGUCUGCCGUGGACCCCGAGGCCUCCAGAGACCAGAGUUCACAGGGUUCAGACUGAACCGAGCCAAGGUGUGGGAAGACCGGGGCCUGGAGUGCCAGAGAGACCGGGCGUGGGCCUGGUAUGUGUGUUACACAAUUUUCCAGGGGGCGUUGAACUUGGGCCAAGUGACCAAAACCAAGAUCCCCUCGCCUCCGCCUUCCCUGCAGGCGUGCGAAUGGCCCAGCGUCCCAGCCGCGCGGAUUAAGCCCUAAGUCAUCACAGAAGAAGUGGUCCGCCAGUCUCAGGGACGGCAGCAAGUCUGGGCUGUGCUAGACCUUCUCUCAUCCCCUGCCAAGCCAGCUUCUCUUGAGGAGAGCCCUAACCACAGGCUGGCCGUGCCUCGGUUCAGCAUCUGGGGUGGUGAAGCCCACGGCCUCUCCAGGGGCCCUGAGAUCGGGGCCUUUUCCACCGCUGAGUUCCCAGACACCCAGCCCGAAGCCCCAGACCUUCAGGAAUGUGUUUUGCCUGGGCCCCGGGGGUGGGGCUCCCGAGGUCUGAGUUCCCUUCCGCUCCCUCAGGAUGGGAUGUGGUCCUGAGUGUGGGUGGAGGAAUUCGCCAGCUUAUCUGCAUGUUUGUCCAGCCUCAGGCAAGAAGCUACAGCUCUGGAAGCUGGGAAGUGGUCUGUGUCUGGUCCCCGGCCGGAGGUUUCAGAGGCGGUGGUGCCCUCGUGGAGGCCGGGCCCCCACUUCAGCGGAGCCAGCCGACACCACCCGGAGCAGGGACCGCCCUUCCCCAGCACAACCCUCUGGCAGAGGAGCAGCGUGAAGGUCAGCGAGGCCCCGUGGCUCGCGCCGGGAAAUGCAAGGGAGACCACGCGGAGCUGGGGUUCUGGGGAGAAGGGGGCGGCCUUUGCGUCAGACUCUGCCCAGACCGCCGUCCCGUCUCCCCAGACCCCGUUCCUCCCGCCCAGCCCCCGGGCUCUGGAUCCCUGCUGCGGCCAGGGUUCUUCUCCAGGAGGGUUUGGGCUACACAGGGCUCAGGCCAGAUGGACUUGGGCUGAAGGUGCAGGGGGUCAGGGAGCCAGGCCUGGGGAGGUGGGGUGCAGUCAGUGGAAGCCCCGAGACCCCACAGGUCUGCUCAUGGUCCCUGGGAUGCUGCGAAUGCCACGGCUGUGGGCCUCACACAGACCACCCUCCACGCCACCCCCGGUUUCCUUCCCCGAAACGUGACAAAGGACCAGCUCACAUUUGCCGGGAGCCAGCACCCCAUGAGAAUCUUACGCCUGUUAAUGGAUUCAUCCUCUCGGCAGUCCUGACCCGGUCUGUCCUGGAGUUACCCCCAUUUUUCAGAUGAGCACACUGAGGCCUAGGAAGGGUAGGUCACUCCCCCAGGCCACACAGGGAACUGCAGAGCCGGAAUUUCACCCCCGGAAUCCUGGCCUGGAGUCCACACCCUGAAGGACACAAUGCAGCCCUGGCUUCACAGCGGCGUGGCCUGGAGGCAGGGCUCCGUUCACCCCCGCGAUACAGAUCAAGAGACUGAGGCUGGGCAGUUCUGCCGGAGGCUCCAGGUUCACGGUGGCAUCUGGACCUGAAUCUAGCUGCUGGCAGGGAGUGGGGGUGGAGGAGCUAUAGGGCAGGGAGACUGGCCCAGAAGGAGGGGUCUGAUCCUCCCAGGAGGAGAGCUCCCCACCCCUUCAGCACAGCGUCAAGGGAGCCCAGAGGAGGUGGUGUGCCUGGGAAGGCAUUGAGAAAUCUGCUUGGUGAGACCGCCGCUCCCAGGGGGCCUCCUGCUUUACCCCCAGCUCUGGCCUGAAAGCAGAAGGGUGCAGAGGAGAAGGAACACAGAUCCUCCUACCUUGGGCUGGGAGGAGAAGUCGCGGAGCCACAAGAGCUCUGACACCUUCACCGCCAUGAGCCGGCCCACCUGACCUGCGACCCUCCCCAGCCCUGCAGACGCGGCCACUGCUUCCAUGCUCUCGCUGGGGGAGGAGGCCCAGGCUCGGCGGGCCCCGGUCUCAGGCCCCCGCUUCCGAUCCAGUUAGAGGCCAGUCCGUGUUCCUUUCACUGGCUUGCUUGAUUUUGUUGUAGUUCAGUCGCUCCGUCGUGUCCGACUCUUUGCGACCCCACGGACUGCAGCACGCCAGUUGCUCAAACUCACGUCCAUCAAGCCUGUGAUACCAUCCAGCCAUCUCAUCCUCUGCCGUCCCCUCCUCCUCCUGCCCUCAGUCUGACUGUGGGAAAACAGACACAACGUGAACUCUAUCAGUCUAACCGUUUUGUGUGUCCGGUUCAGUGGCGUUAGGUACACUCGCACUAUGGCGCAGCCGGCAGCGCCAGCAUCUCCAGAGCUUUCUCAUCUUCCCAGACUGAGUCUCUGCCCCGUUAACCACUGAUGCCCACUCCGCCCGCCCCUUCAGCCCCCUGGGAGCCACCGUUGACUCGCUGUCUGUGGAUUCGACUGCUCUAAGGACUUCAUAUUGCAGGACCGUGCAGUAUGGGUCCUCUUGUGACCCGCUGGUUUCCCCGAGCACCGUGUCCUCGGGGCUCACUGAUGUUGUAAGCAUGUGUCAGAGUUUCCUCCCUUUAAAGGCUGGAUAAUAUUCCAUUGUACGGGGAGACCACAUUCUGCUCGUACACCCUUGGGUUGCUUCCGCUUUUUGGCUGUGAGUAAUGUUGCUCUGAACAAGGGUGUACAAAUACCUCCUCAAGACUCUGCUGUCCGUUCUUUCGGAUAUAUGUCCAGAAGUGGAACGGCUGGAUCACAUGAGAGUUCUGUUUUUAGUGUUUUAAGGAACUGCCAUCCUGUUUUCCAUUCCCCCCAGGGCUGUGCAAAUAAAUGUUCCAGUUUCUCCACGUGCCCCCGACGAUGGUUUCUUUCUGGUGCUUCUUCUUCUUUGGUCCUGGCAUUUCAGUCACCGUCCUGAUGGCUCGGACAUGGUAUCUCACUGAUUUGCAUUUUGCUAACAGUCGGUCCCGCUGAGCAUUUCUCCAAGUACUCUUUGGCCAUCUGAGUAUCUUCUUUGGAGAGUUGUCUACUCAACUCAACUCCUGUGACCAUUUUUAAAGUCUGGUUUUUGCUCUUUGUUGUUGUUGAGUUGCAAGAGUUCUUUACGUAUUCUGGAUAUUAACCCCUUAUCAUACAGGUGAUUUGCAAAUACUUUCUCCCAUUCUCGAGGUGGCCUUCCUUUUUUUUUUUUUUAAAGAAACCUCUGUUUCAUAACCUUUUGUCUCACAUGCAUAAAGAAGAGGGCAUGGAACAUAAGUGCCUGAGGCGUUGAAGAUGCAC
Long non-coding RNA from Capra hircus (goat), 3417 nucleotides. The record is from Ensembl. NCBI's taxonomy places the organism in Eukaryota, Metazoa, Chordata, Mammalia, Artiodactyla, Bovidae.